Molecule: ribosomal RNA, 465 nt
Filed under: uncultured Klebsiella sp.
Lineage: Bacteria; Pseudomonadati; Pseudomonadota; Gammaproteobacteria; Enterobacterales; Enterobacteriaceae
Description: bacterial SSU rRNA
Rfam family: Bacterial small subunit ribosomal RNA
Source: RNAcentral
CCUACGGGGGGCUGCAGUGGGGAAUAUUGCACAAUGGGCGCAAGCCUGAUGCAGCCAUGCCGCGUGUGUGAAGAAGGCCUUCGGGUUGUAAAGCACUUUCAGCGGGGAGGAAGGCGUUAAGGUUAAUAACCUUGUCGAUUGACGUUACCCGCAGAAGAAGUACCGGCUAACUCCGUGCCAGCAGCCGCGGUAAUACGGAGGGUGCAAGCGUUAAUCGGAAUUACUGGGCGUAAAGCGCACGCAGGCGGUCUGUCAAGUCGGAUGUGAAAUCCCCGGGCUCAACCUGGGAACUGCAUUCGAAACUGGCAGGCUAGAGUCUUGUAGAGGGGGGUAGAAUUCCAGGUGUAGCGGUGAAAUGCGUAGAGAUCUGGAGGAAUACCGGUGGCGAAGGCGGCCCCCUGGACAAAGACUGACGCUCAGGUGCGAAAGCGUGGGGAGCAAACAGGAUUAGAUACCCUAGUAGUC